AACGAACGCUGGCGGCAUACCUAACUCAUGCAAGUCGAACGAGACCUUCGGGUCUAGUGGCGCACGGGUGCGUAACGCGUGGGAACCUGCCCUUAGGUUCGGAAUAACUCCCCGAAAGGGGUGCUAAUACCGGAUAAUGUCUUCGGACCAAAGAUUUAUCGCCUUUGGAUGGGCCCGCGUUGGAUUAGCUAGUUGGUAGGGUAAAAGCCUACCAAGGCGACGAUCCAUAGCUGGUCUGAGAGGAUGAUCAGCCACACUGGGACUGAGACACGGCCCAGACUCCUACGGGAGGCAGCAGUGGGGAAUAUUGGACAAUGGGCGAAAGCCUGAUCCAGCAAUGCCGCGUGAGUGAUGAAGGCCUUAGGGUUGUAAAGCUCUUUUACCCGGGAUGAUAAUGACAGUACCGGGAGAAUAAGCGCCGGCUAACUCCGUG
This 433-nucleotide ribosomal RNA is filed under the name uncultured bacterium. Its description in RNAcentral is "partial 16S ribosomal RNA". It matches the Rfam family "Bacterial small subunit ribosomal RNA", at positions 29 to 507 of the family's 1533-position model. The record is from RNAcentral.